AUUUGUGGAGAGAGUAACUGAUAGCAAACUUGUUGAAGAUUCUCAUAUGGAGUCAUGUCUACCUUUGGCAGGUAAAUUAUUCAACCAAUUAGAUAAAUUUUCGUUUCUAAUAUUCUUCGUUGUUAACAAUAUUAACUCAAUCAUUUAGGCACACUAUACCGGGAGAAACAGGACCUUGUGGCAUAAACAUCAAAGAAGACUAAAAUAACUCAAGCUAAGGACAAACAUGUAGCUAAGGGUACAAAACUGAAAAACUAGAGAAAAACUAUUGUCAUUAUAUAGACACUUAAUCUUUGAAGUGUGUUCUUGUAUGAUUGAUGGGAGUUUCUGUGCAACAUUAUCAGCAAAGAAGGCGAAGAAAAUGAAGUCUAAUAUCUUAAAAGACAAGAUACAAAGCUAGCAUAUCUGAUUCAUCCCACCAACUUACUGAAGUGGUUGUCGAGCAUAAUAAAGGUUAGUAUUCUACAUGAGGCAACGGUGUUAAUAGUUCUAAAUCAAAUCAUCAAUGAUAUAGGAUAUUAUGCAAAUACAUUAUGUUUGUCAUUAACUAAUUUUAUUAAUAUUAUCAUCAACUUUUAGGCAAAGGAGUCCCACAAACACCAACACUCAAGUCAAGGAGUGGCAGAACAAUCAAGCGAAGAAUAUUGGACUAAUGAAGUGAAAGAUUUUAUGAGACUUUGAAGCAACUUCUGUAUGUACUUUGACUUUUGCCUCUAUUACACCGCGUCGGUCACAUUCUACUAUAUUUUGAGGUUACCUUUUGCAUGUACAUUGUAUAUGCCUCGAUGUAGUUUUUAGCUUAAUGCGAUAUGUAUAUAUAACGCGUAAUGUCUAAAAGGAUAGUUAAAUAGGUUAUAUAUAAAUUGUAUUGUGUAGAUUGUUGCUCCUAGCUGUACAAAUUAAAUACUCUUUGCUGUAUUACAACUGUGACCUACAAGUCAUAGUAUAAUAUGUCUA
This 957-nucleotide long non-coding RNA is filed under the name Salvia miltiorrhiza (redroot sage). RNAcentral's name for it is "long non-coding RNA (SMIL_LNC007552)". The record is from RNAcentral. Lineage: Eukaryota; Viridiplantae; Streptophyta; Magnoliopsida; Lamiales; Lamiaceae.